CGUAGUUGGAUUUCUGGUGGGGGCCGCUGGUCCGCCGCGCAAGCGGCGUGACCGAUGCGUGCCUACCGCCAUCCUCGGGGGGGCUUCGCGUGGGAUUAGUUUCUCGUGCGUUUGUCGACCCGUCUUUUACUGUGAAAAAAUUAGAGUGUUCAAAGCAGGCUGAGGCCGUUGAAUACAUUAGCAUGGAAUAAUGAGAUAGGACCUUGGCGGUCUAUUUUGUUGGUUUGCACGCCAAGGUAAUGAUUAAUAGGGAUAGUUGGGGGU
Molecule: ribosomal RNA, 264 nt
Filed under: Phaeomonas sp. RCC4469
Lineage: Eukaryota; Pinguiophyceae; Pinguiochrysidales; Pinguiochrysidaceae
Description: partial 18S ribosomal RNA
Rfam family: Eukaryotic small subunit ribosomal RNA
Source: RNAcentral